UUUGGUCCAAAUUGACUUCUCAACUUGGUUUUUUAUCACAUUGGAAGUCCAUCGGUUUGAGUCAAACCAAUUUAUCAAUAUUAUUUGUUGGACAUAUUUAAAAUAUGUUAUUGUGUUAAUCUCAUACGAUCUAGUAUUGGUUGGAAUAGAGUAGAGUAACUAAUGUUAUAUGUUAGACUCAAGUCCCUUGUUAUAAUGUGCACCAAAUAUAAACACCAAAUAAAAAUACUCUAUGGGCAGGUGGGCUCAUGGAUGUGGUAGGGUUUGUAAUCCUUAUUCUUUAAUAAUAUAUUGGUAUUCGUUUAGCGCUCUCGUGGACGUAGGCACGAUUGGCCGAACUCCGUUAACAAAUUCUCUUGUUUCUUCUCUUCUAUUUAUUCAAUGCAUAUUAUUUGAUUGUUUGUGGCCAACGUUGCGCAACGAUUACUUCCACUGCACCAACAAUUGGUAUCAGGGCUAAUUGGUAGAUAACUCUUAACCCAGAGAGUACAUAAUAGCUAAAGAGGGUGAAGGCGUGAUGGCUAGACAAGGUGUAUUAAAGGUAGUGGCAAAGAUAGAGUAGAUGCGUUGAAGGAGAAGAAAACAUGGCGAAACUGUUGUGGGGUGCGAUAUAUGUUAGAUCCAGAAUUCCAGAAAUUCAUGUACUGGAUUAGGAUCAAGAUGGAGAUAGGGACUCAUGUGUUGAGUUUGACCCAGAGACAGGUGCUGACGAUAUAUCUCUAGAUGUUGAGAAAAUGUUCUCAUUUGAUAGGAGAAGUGAAAUAUCCUAAUGGCGUGUCUGGGACGUCAUAGUGAAGGAUGUUAAUUGUUAGUACAUCCAUAAAAGCACAGAGACACUGGCUGACUGUGAUGUACGGUGUUAAUUGUGCAUUGACUUUAAUGCAAGUUAUAACACGAGCAUUGAUAGAGAUGUAUGGGUGUGACAUGGGCAUUGGCUUAGAUGUAAGAAUGUGACACAUACAUUAGUUAGCAUUGACAAGGGGUGUUAAAUGGUAGAGUAUGAUAGUUCUUUUGAACUAGGAUUGUCGGAGUAGACAAUGGUGGUAGCGGUUGAGGCUUUCCAAGGAUCAGUGACUGAGUAUUGAAGAGGACGACUGAUUUCCUAAGGAGCGAGAUAUUCGUCUAUUUCAAUCAAGGUGCAAAUUGUUGGGAUGCUUCAAAUAUGUUAUUGUGUUAGUCCAACAUUGUCUAGUAUUGGAAUAAAGUAGAGUAACCUAUAUUAUAUACUGGACUCAAGUCCCUUGUUAUAAUGUGCACCACAUAUAAGCACUAAAUAUAAACACCUCAUGGGCAGGUGGGCCAUGAGUGUGCUAGGGUUUAUAAUCUUUAUUCUCAAAUAAUAUCUUGGUAGUCAUUCAACACUCCCGAGAACGUAGGCACAAUUGGUCGAACCCCGUUAACAAAGUAUAUUGUUUCUUCUCUUUUGUUUAUUGUAUUACACUUUCGCUGCACCA
Molecule: long non-coding RNA, 1454 nt
Filed under: Lupinus angustifolius (narrow-leaved blue lupine)
Lineage: Eukaryota; Viridiplantae; Streptophyta; Magnoliopsida; Fabales; Fabaceae
Description: long non-coding RNA (LANG_LNC002927)
Source: RNAcentral